Molecule: long non-coding RNA, 3310 nt
Organism: Vigna unguiculata (cowpea)
Lineage: Eukaryota; Viridiplantae; Streptophyta; Magnoliopsida; Fabales; Fabaceae
Source: RefSeq, a predicted model, not a curated record
GCUUCAUUCUAAGAAAUAGAGUCUACCCACCUUUAAGUUUGUUAUUUAGAAUUUAGAGAAGUUAUCGGUCAUGGAUUUCUUGACCAUCAAAAGCUUGAAGGCAGCUUACCAUAAUCUUAUAACAUUCCUGUUAACUUGUAUCGGAAUCAAGUAUGGAGUCUCCAAGAUCAAUCCUUUCCAGGAACCAACCCUGUCCCUUCUGGUCACCGCCGUGUUUUCCCAUGUUAUAGCUUCCGCCGCUGACAUGGACAAGCCCAACACCAUUAUAACAUUUUAUUUGUCAGGGAUAGUUGCUUGUGAAACACUGCUGUGGAUUCUCAUUGCUCACCUUUCCUGGUUCUGUCUCAUUAACUUCCUUCUUUUACUGAUACUCAAAUUCUUGUUCUUUCACUUCCUCACCAACCUACUCCUUCCCUACUUCAACUCCAUCACUCACCUGAUCUGGAACUCCUUCUACUGCAUCACUCAGCUGCUCUCUGGAACACCUCCAAAUACAGAACAGCAACCAGGACUCCCAGGUGUAGCAUCUCAGAUAUAGCCUGCUUCAUCAAUAUGUAUUGAGGCGCACCAACUACUAGUUUUACACAUGUUGGAUUGUCAAAUACGAUUUGUCCCUUUAUUGUGCAUCAAGUAUUCUACAUCAACCUAUCAUCAUCAGUAGGUCUUGCCUGGUUUCAUGGAAUUGUAUGCAUGACAAAGAAGGAAUGAUAUUGUUGCGCCUCUGCUACUCAGUCAUGCAUUCUCUGCAGCUUAACAGUUGCUUCUCUUCAUCCUCGGGGAUUGCAAGGAAUCGCAUGGAUCUAUUCUUUCAGUGAGGACAAGGAGGUUUCUUGCCAUUUCUCCCAAUAUAACACUACUGCAUUUUUCUUCUUUGUUUCUGUUUUCUCCAUGUUUUUUCCUUUGUACUUUAAUGCUUGUUUGCUUCUCUGUCAACUUAAAAUGGAUUACAUGAGUAGUGAAUUUUUUAACUCCAUUUACAUAACUCUUGCGUUUGCUGAAUAAGGAAUUUUUGAAAGAGAAUUUCAGUAUUAUACAAUUCCAUUUUACUUGACUCUGUUGUGUUAGCUGAACACACCCUUUCUUACAUUUUGUUUCUCUUUUCUUCUGUACCUAACUGCACUCGCGCCUUACAGAACGGAAAACUCCUUCGGUUGACUAAUUAAUCCGUGUUUUAAUUCUCUACUCCCAUGUUUGUGGGCUGCAGAUUAUCUCUGUUGAAGUCAACUGAGAGAAAUCCUCUGCCUGAGAGGAUUCUUGUGCUUCAUAUUAUCCCUUCUUUUUAACUAAUCGCUAACCACUCUCAAUCUUCUUUUUCUGGAUCACCACAAAUUUUUCCAUUGAAGUAUACAUCAAACAUUUCAGCAGAAGAUGCACAACCUAAUGCAUGACAUGGGUUGGGAUGCUGUUGCUACAUAGGAACGUAUGAAAAGCAGGUGUUUGAGUAUUUGAUCAGAGGGGUUUCUCUUCUUUUGACUUCAUGUCUUAAAUCAAGAUGCUUCUGGACUACUAUUUGUUGAGGCCUAUGGGAAUGGAAAGUAAAUUUUACAAUUUUCAGCAAAUACGCUUUAAAUUUUUUAUUUAUCAAAUAUUCCUUUAGAUAAGGAAGACAAUUCAACUUUAUUAAAUUUUAAUUUUCUUGUUUAGAAAUAAUAUUUCAAUCAUGGAGAAAAAAUAAUUACUACAAAAUUUUAAUGAAAAAAAUCUGAUUGAUAUCUAUUCAAAGAUAGUCUCGCCAAUAUUAGUCAAGAAAACUCUUAAAAGUGUUCAACGAUAGUCCAAAUUUAUAUUGACUAAUCAAUAACUGUAACAGUGUCAUUAAAAAACCAACCUUUGUUAACGUUGAAUAAAAAAUGUUGACUUGUUUGAAAAAUAAUUUCAGAUAAAAAAAAUACUCUAACUGUUGAGAAAAUAAUCUGCCAAUAAAAGCUAAUUUUUAUCCUCAUAUUUACGUAGUCUUAUUUUUGUGGAGGAAAUCUUCUGUUGAUGUAAUGUAUGUCUGUUGGAGGGAGAUUUAAGUUCCCAAUAAUUAAGGGAUUAGAUCAAUCCCUGAUUCAACGGAUUAUUAGUAACAAAGUAAUUUUUGCCUUGAAUUUCAGUAGAAGUUAGAUUAAUUCUGAUAACACAUAGUCAUCUGAGUCAGGACCAUCCAUGGACCAAGUGGGAUGGAUUGAUCCACUACAAAUGUUUUUUAAGCAAGGAAUAUUGGGUAAAACAGGGUAAAAUUUACAAAAGAAUCCCUGUAGUCUAGAGAAAAGCUUCUAAUAAGAGUGCUCUUCAUGAUGUGAAUGGACUUACAAUUGUUGGCAUAAGCUUGCUAUGUAGGCUACGAGAAAGAACUGAACUAGGAACCGUUAGGUAAACUUAAAUGGAAUAAAUUUAAAUAUAUUAGCUGUUGUGAGUAAUUAAUAUAUUAGUCGUUGUAGUCUUACGAGUAAUUAAUGUCUUAGUCGUUUUUAUCUGUUUUGAUUACAACAACUAGAACUAUUUGAGUAUGUAAAUUAUAUUGUUGAUUAAUAACAACAUAGAAAAUGUGAAUAACAUUGUUCACAAAAGCUUGAUUUGCUAACAAAGUGGUACCAACAAGAGCUAGUUAGUUUGGGUGUCUAAGUGGGAAAAAGGAAUCAAUUAGCUUGAGUGUUUGAGAAAAAACAAGAGUGAGAGAUGACUAGUCUUACAAAUUGUGUGCUCAUGCUCAAGUUGAUAAUUGGAGUCUCAAAAUGAAGGAUCAUCUUGGUUUCCAAGAAAAUUGGGAGAUGGUGGAAAAUACAUGUAGAGCACGAAUUGGUUGGAUGUUCAGAUGAAUGUGUUGAGAGGAGUGCAUACAAAGGACAUGGGAGCUCUGUACAUCCUAUACCAAGCUGUGGACGAAUUUGACUUUGGGAAGAUUGAAAGUACAAAAUCUUCAAAAGAAACAUGAGACAUUUUGAAGAAGGCAUAUAAAGAGGACGACCGAGUGAAGCAAGUAUGGUUUCAAACACUAAAAGUGAAGUUGGAGAGCAUGAGUCUUGAGGUCGUUGACAAAUGACUUUGAGAAUGUGGUAUGGACAAUUGAAGAAUCAAAGGACCGGUCAAUGCUAAGUUGAAGAGCUUGCUGGGUCUCUUGAAGCACACAAGCAACAGCAAAAAAAGAAGAAGAAGUGGGAGCGACUUUAGAAAUUACUCCAAAUAAAUCUAGUGGUUGAUUUUAUUUCUUGAUCUUAUUCAUGUGUAAUUGUCUUGCUUUUAUCUUCUCAUUUUCGACAAUUAUGUCUACUAUUACUUCAUAUUAUGUGUUUAAUCUACUCCUAUAUCAUAGAAGCAAAUCUUCACA